GCCAGACUCCUACGGGAGGCAGCAGUGGGGGAUAUUGCACAAUGGGGGAAACCCUGAUGCAGCGACGCCGCGUGUGGGAAGACGGUCCUCUGGAUUGUAAACCACUGUCCCCAGGGACGAAGAUGACGGUACCUGGGGAGGAAGCCCCGGCUAACUACGUGCCAGCAGCCGCGGUAAUACGUAGGGGGCAAGCGUUAUCCGGAUUUACUGGGUGUAAAGGGGGCGCAGACGGCAGCGCAAGCCAGGAGUGAAAGCCCGGGGCCCAACCCCGGGACUGCUCUUGGAACUGCGUGGCUGGAGUGCAGGAGGGGCAGGCGGAAUUCCUGGUGUAGCGGUGAAAUGCGUAGAUAUCAGGAGGAACACCGGUGGCGAAGGCGGCCUGCUGGACUGCAACUGACGUUGAGGCCCGAAAGCGUGGGGAGCAAACAGGAUUAGAUACCCGCGUAC
This 447-nucleotide ribosomal RNA is filed under the name uncultured bacterium. Its description in RNAcentral is "partial 16S ribosomal RNA". It matches the Rfam family "Bacterial small subunit ribosomal RNA", at positions 330 to 793 of the family's 1533-position model. The record is from RNAcentral.